Long non-coding RNA from Nothoprocta perdicaria, 477 nucleotides. RefSeq lists it as uncharacterized. The record is from RefSeq and is a predicted model, not a curated record. The transcript is spliced from 3 exons. NCBI's taxonomy places the organism in Eukaryota, Metazoa, Chordata, Aves, Tinamiformes, Tinamidae.
UUCAAGGAAGGCGGCACCCCAAGGCGACAACGCUGUCAUGGUAACUGGUGCAAAGAAGCAGAUCUGCCCAUCUGAUCGUGCCGAGCACUGCGUGAACAGCAAGYGGUGCGAUACAGCACAACGCAGAGAAAUCACGCGCCGCCGUGGCAGGGAGCGAGUGCAGCUAGCGAUGCUGGGGAGAUUGUGUAGAGCUGCAGUUUUCCUGGAUCUCUGUGAGAAAUUGAGCUAAGAGCAAGUUGGGAGAUGCAGGUGUUGUGCUGUUCCUGGGCUAUUGUAGCUGGAUGCUCCAUCUGAAGAACAUUUAGGUGCUCUCGGUCUGCCAGACACUGACACUUCAGACACUUCAACAGGAGGAGGCGAGGGAGCUCCAAGGUCUGGACUGCAUGGCCAUCUUCUCCUGAACCCUCUGUCCAUCCAUGAGAUUUAYGCCGAGGGAACCACAUGAGUUGUUUGUUUCUUGCUCCAGAGUUUUKACGA